GAAGAGAUUUUCUUAAACAAUGAAAUAUUGUUUGGCGAUCCCACUGGGUAUACGACCAAAGGACCAGCAGCAUUUCGAAUGAGGAUAAGGGAACCUAGUUUGCAUGACACAAAUAUGGUCAAGGAAAAUGUUCAGGAAUUGCUUUUCCUCUGGAAUCAUGGUAGACGCAGCAAGGACACACACUUCAAAGCAGGGAUGAAAAGACACAAUUCCUUUCCUUUUGGAAGACCUAGAACAUAUUCCAAUGACAGCAGAGAUUUUAUGUUCAUAUGAAGAGGGAUAUAGCAAAUGAACAAAUGAAUAAGUGAAGCACAAAAAAAGGAAGAAUUGCUUGCAUUUACUGGUAAAAGAAGAAUCAGAUGCAUGUCACACCAGGGGAAAAUCAUUUUACCUUUUUCUGUUGAUCAGAGAGCCCAUGAAGAGAUGAGAUUGCCAAACUGAAUAAUCUAAAGAGAUUCUGUGGUGACUUAACAUGAAGUAAAUGUCUAGAUUUGAGAGAGAUCCUGGAUACCAUGUGAAAAAGAUGUGACUGAGGACGACUCACCCCACCAUAUUUUUUGCAAAACUCCUGAAGGAAAGAC
Long non-coding RNA from Hyaena hyaena (striped hyena), 581 nucleotides. RefSeq lists it as uncharacterized. The transcript has 3 exons. Lineage: Eukaryota; Metazoa; Chordata; Mammalia; Carnivora; Hyaenidae. The record is from RefSeq and is a predicted model, not a curated record.